UGACCGAUUUCUGAUCAACCACCUGGUUUAUAUAGUGCAUUUUCUGGGACUUAUAAAUCUGCACUUUGCACUUAUACAUCUUAAACUGUUAAAAGAUUGUUUGAUUUGGCUUUAAAUAAUGGCCAUGCAGGGUAUGUAAACUGGCCCGCCAUUCCAUCUAAAUCUCUGCACCGAAGUGUAGCUAUAAGUGAACACAACAGGGGUCCAGUUUAGCAGGGUAUGUACAUCAAACCUAAAUGUACUAUUUUUUGUAGUAUGAUAAGUUAUAGGACAUCAAGUUUCUAACUAUUUUAAAUGAGAGGACAGCAACUUUAUAAUUGAUCAGCAUAAUAAGAACAAAGAAUGUAUAUGACCACACUGCCUAAUACCAUUUGUUUGUUUACUUUUGUACAACAUAUAUAAAAUUAAUUGCAUGAAUUCUUAACAUCUGAAACUAUUCAGAAAGGCAAUGAAAAAUUUCGAUGAAGAUAUUUGAAAAUAAUUGUCUAUUUUAGACCAUUUAUUUUUGUGUGCAAUAAAGUAUCAAUUAAGACACUGACAGCUCUUCUAAAGGCCAUGCAUAUUUUUAACUUGAGUUUCACAGACCAGUUAUUGACAAAGGGGUACGUACAAUACUAAAAAUUAUUGUUUUACAACAAAAUCUUAUUUCACAUUGGUGCAUAAAAUUUUAAAUCAGUUGAAUACUAUUAGUACUUACAUAUAUAACUGAUGUAUAAGCAAUCAUUAAAUCAUAAUAAACAUUUCUUGUAUCUUAUAGCUGCCAUACAUAUUGGACUUGGAGAACAUCAACUUAAUGCAUUCUUAUCAAUUUUAAACAUGCCAACAGUGAGCCACAAAAUGUUUGAUGAAAGAUCAAAAGAGGUUGGAAAAGUGUUGGAAUCACUUGCAGAAGAAUCAAUGGCAGAAUGGAUGGAAAAGGAAAAGACUUUGACUAAAGAAUUUGGAGGAAAUGAAAACAUAACAGUGUGUGUAGAUGCAGGUUGGCAGAAAAGAGGAAGUGGCAGGGCAUAUGAUAGCCUCACAGGACAUUGUUCAAUGAUUGGAGCAAAGUCCCGCAAAAUACUUGGUUAUAAAUGGAGGUCAAAAACUUGCAGGAUAUGUGAGGUAGCCAGUAGAAAAGGAAAAAUACCAAAGGUUCAUCAGUGCAGGAAAAAUUUUGGUGGGAGUGCAAAAGCCAUGGAGCCAGAUAUGGUAAUUGACCUAGUCAGAGAAGCUAGAUUAAAAGGCUAAUGUAUCUGCAGGCCUAUCACCUGGGGUCCACACAAAAAAACUGUCCACAUUACGGGACUUGCAGGCAAAGAAAAGAAAGGCAAUAGCAGUGACAAAGAAAGCAAAACUGCAUAGAAUCCAGUUGAAGUCAAAGCGUCACCAAAAUACUUCAAGUUGUGAAGUAAGAGAAGGGGUGUGUUAUGAAGAGGGCACAGCACUAGGAGUUGAACCGGAUAUAACAGAAAUACCUGCACCAGUUCAAACAGUGACCAAUCAGUCCAUGCCUCUAAAUUUGUCUAGAAUAUAUUUUGACAUAGAAGCUACUGGGCUUAGUAGAACAUCACACAUAUUACAAUUAUCUGCCAAAAGGGAUGAGGAGAUGUAUACUUCAUUUGUAUUACCAUCAUGCCAAGUAACACAGAAGGCUGCUGAAAUCACAGGAAUUACGUUUGAGAAUGGUCAGCUCUUGUUUAAAGGAAAUGUUAUGCCAGCUGUUGGUAUCAAAAAGUGUUUGAACGAUUUUAUUUCUUUUCUUGAUAAAUCACAAAAUAAUGUUAUUAUAGGCCACAAUAUAUGUAAUUAUGAUUGCAUGGUAUUAUAUACAGCUUUAGAAAAAUGUAGCUUACUUGAUAAAUUUAUGACCAGUAUUUCAGGUUUUGUAGAUACAUUAUUAUUAUUUAAAUCUUCUCAUCCAGGCCUUAGUUCCUAUUCUCAACCUAAUUUAUUUCAAACAUUAUUGGGUCAAACUUAUGAUGCUCACAGAGCUGAUGAAGAUGUAGAUGCACUGUAUACACUUGUACAUAAAACUGUUGUAAAUAAUUGUCAUUUUGAAAAAGUAUACUUGUCAAAUAAUUUUAUAUUAGAAAAAUACUUAUCUAUGAAAGAGCUUCAGAAAAAAUCUGCCUUCAUUGAAAUUGUUAGUUGACAAUAAAAUACUGUCUAUAAGUAUGGCACGAAUUAUUGCCAAGAGUGGUCUUUCCUUGCAGCAUUUGAAGCUAGCCUUUUCAAGGAAUGGUGCAAAAGGGAUAAGAGAUAUUUUUACAGAGAGCUGUGGGUCAGGUGUACGUGUUACAAAAUCUCAGAAGAUAAUAAACAAAGUUUCAGAGUUUUUACAAACACUCUGAAAUCUCAAAAUUUUGCAAAUUGUUUAAUAUUUAUGUAUGUAAUAUAAAAGUAUGCACAUUAUCUAUUUUCAGAAUGUAAUGAAUUCUUUACAAAAUUACAAGUUCCUGAUAUAAAUAGGAAUGAUCAACAUAAAAAAUGGGUAACAUAUGGUGCCUGGCUAACUGCUCUUAUUAUACCCUGUGCAGUUUUUAAUGUUUUUUGACCCAUCAGUCUGUUUGUCUGUCAGUCCGUCAGUCUUGUCAUCAAAACUCCUCUCAAACCACACAACAGAAUUUCAUGAAUCUUUAUAGAUAAUAAGGACAUACUAUGUAGAUGUGCAUAUCGACAGGAAAUUAUGAUUUAAUUUUUGUUCUAGGAGUUAUGCCCCUUUGCACCUAUUGGCCUAGUUAUACUACUGCAACAGUUUGUCAUCCCACCUCCUCUGAAACCACACAACAGAACUUCAUGAAAUUUUGUAGAUAAUAAGGAUAUACUAUGUAAACGUGCAUAUUGACAGGAAAUUAUGAUUCAAUUUUUCAAUGU
This is a long non-coding RNA of Mytilus californianus (California mussel), 2856 nucleotides long. RefSeq lists it as uncharacterized. The transcript has 6 exons. Lineage: Eukaryota; Metazoa; Mollusca; Bivalvia; Mytilida; Mytilidae. The record is from RefSeq and is a predicted model, not a curated record.